UGGCUCCAGCAAGUCGUACCAAGGUAACGGCCGUCAGAGGUUGAAUCAUGGCCUCAGGACGAACCCUGGCGGGCGGUCCUUAACCCGAUCCAAGUCGGAACGAGUGAACCCCUUCGUUGGGGAUUAGGUGGGAACCGGAUGAGUAACCCCGUGGACAUUCUCGCCCUCCACGCUGGACCAGGCCUUGAAACCGGGUCCUAUUCCCGAAUAUGACCCUAUUGGCCAUCCUUGAUGGUGUAAAGCUCCGGCGGUGCAGGAUGAGCCCGCGGCCUAUCAGCUUGUUGGUGAGGUAACGGCUCACCAAGGCGACGACGGGUAGCCGGCCUGAGAGGGCGACCGGCCACACUGGGACUGAGACACGGCCCAGACUCCUACGGGAGGCAGCAGUGGGGAAUAUUGCACAAUGGGCGAAAGCCUGAUGCAGCGACGCCGCGUGAGGGAUGACGGCCUUCGGGUUGUAAACCUCUUUCAGCAGGGAAGAAGCGAAAGUGACGGUACCUGCAGAAGAAGCGCCGGCUAACUACGUGCCAGCAGCCGCGGUAAUACGUAGGGCGCAAGCGUUGUCCGGAAUUAUUGGGCGUAAAGAGCUCGUAGGCGGCUUGUCACGUCGGUUGUGAAAGCCCGGGGCUUAACCCCGGGUCUGCAGUCGAUACGGGCAGG
Molecule: ribosomal RNA, 660 nt
Filed under: Streptomyces sp.
Lineage: Bacteria; Bacillati; Actinomycetota; Actinomycetes; Kitasatosporales; Streptomycetaceae
Description: bacterial SSU rRNA
Rfam family: Bacterial small subunit ribosomal RNA
Source: RNAcentral